This 225-nucleotide unclassified non-coding RNA is filed under the name Hevea brasiliensis (rubber tree). The record is from RNAcentral. Lineage: Eukaryota; Viridiplantae; Streptophyta; Magnoliopsida; Malpighiales; Euphorbiaceae.
CACUCUUCUUUCCACCUUAAUUUCUUUUUUUUUUUCUUUUUUAAUUUUGUUAUGAGCAGCAAAUUUUAUUAAAAAUCACUAGGCAUGUUCUUUUAUUCCACUAAGAUACAUAUAGAAACCAAAAAUCUACAUAAGUAAUGGAAAUUUUGUUAUUACAAGAAAAUGAUAGAUCCUAUUAAAGACAGAAAAAUCAAACAAAAAGAAAUUAAGGUGGAAAGAAGAGUG